This 253-nucleotide ribosomal RNA is filed under the name uncultured bacterium. Its description in RNAcentral is "partial 16S ribosomal RNA". It matches the Rfam family "Bacterial small subunit ribosomal RNA", at positions 524 to 776 of the family's 1533-position model. The record is from RNAcentral.
UACGGAGGGUGCGAGCGUUAAUCGGAAUUACUGGGCGUAAAGCGCGCGUAGGUGGCUUGAUAAGCCGGUUGUGAAAGCCCCGGGCUCAACCUGGGAACGGCAUCCGGAACUGCCAAGCUAGAGUGCAGGAGAGGAAGGUAGAAUUCCCGGUGUAGCGGUGAAAUGCGUAGAGAUCGGGAGGAAUACCAGUGGCGAAGGCGGCCUUCUGGACUGACACUGACACUGAGGUGCGAAAGCGUGGGUAGCAAAUAGG